Non-coding RNA from Acanthosepion pharaonis, 100 nucleotides. The record is from the annotation of a GenBank genome assembly. Lineage: Eukaryota; Metazoa; Mollusca; Cephalopoda; Sepiida; Sepiidae.
CGUUGAAACACUGGUUCUCGUACAAUCAUCGAAGUUAAGCAACGCCAAACCUGGUCAGUACCUAUAUGGGUGACCGCUUGGGAAUACCAGGUGUUGUAAG